This 166-nucleotide ribosomal RNA is filed under the name Stomiopeltis sp. T49A1c. RNAcentral's name for it is "partial 28S ribosomal RNA". It matches the Rfam family "Eukaryotic large subunit ribosomal RNA", at positions 1 to 169 of the family's 3401-position model. Lineage: Eukaryota; Fungi; Ascomycota; Dothideomycetes; Capnodiales. The record is from RNAcentral.
GUUGACCUCGGAUCGGGUAGGGAUACCCGCUGAACUUAAGCAUAUCAAUAAGCGGAGGAAAAGAAACCAACAGGGAUUGCCCUAGUAACGGCGAGUGAAGCGGCAACAGCUCAAAUUUGAAAUCGGCCCCCCGGUCGAGUUGUAAUUUGCAGAGGAUGCUUCUGGG